AGUGAACGCUGGCGGUAGGCCUAACACAUGCAAGUCGAACGGCAGCACAGUAAGAGCUUGCUCUUACGGGUGGCGAGUGGCGGACGGGUGAGGAAUACAUCGGAAUCUACUUUUUCGUGGGGGAUAACGUAGGGAAACUUACGCUAAUACCGCAUACGACCUACGGGUGAAAGCAGGGGAUCUUCGGACCUCGCGCGAUUGAAUGAGCCGAUGUCGGAUUAGCUAGUUGGCGGGGUAAAGGCCCACCAAGGCGACGAUCCGUAGCUGGUCUGAGAGGAUGAUCAGCCACACUGGAACUGAGACACGGUCCAGACUCCUACGGGAGGCAGCAGUGGGGAAUAUUGGACAAUGGGCGCAAGCCUGAUCCAGCCAUGCCGCGUGGGUGAAGAAGGCCUUCGGAUUGUAAAGCCCUUUUGUUGGGGAAGAAAAGCAGCAGGUUAAUACCCCGCUGUUCUGACGGUACCCAAAGAAUAAGCACCGGCUAACUUCGUG
Molecule: ribosomal RNA, 492 nt
Filed under: uncultured bacterium
Lineage: Bacteria
Description: partial 16S ribosomal RNA
Rfam family: Bacterial small subunit ribosomal RNA
Source: RNAcentral